Pseudophryne corroboree (corroboree frog) is the source of this 1945-nucleotide long non-coding RNA. RefSeq lists it as uncharacterized. The transcript is spliced from 3 exons. The record is from RefSeq and is a predicted model, not a curated record. Lineage: Eukaryota; Metazoa; Chordata; Amphibia; Anura; Myobatrachidae.
AGAAGACCCACUUCUACUUACUCCGGCCACUCUUCUUACACAGAAGACCGGGAUUACCUAUGCUCCUCCUGGAGAAUUCAAUACCAAAGACCUGUUCAAACGUCAAAGGAGACAAGUUCAAAGCCUUGCAAACACCUUUUGGGACAGAUGGAAAAGACAAUACCUUUCUACCCUGCAGUCAAGGAGCAAGUGGCAAGUUGCCAAACCCAACUUAAAACCAGGUGACAUUGUGCUCGUCAGAGAUUGCCAGUCACAACGCAACGAAUGGCCUUUAAGUCUUGUCACCAAGACGUUCCCAAGCAAGGAUGGGAAGGUUCGUAAGGUUGAGGUCAAGAUCUGUAAGCGAGGAGAGACUAAGUUGUUCCUCAGACCAGUGACUGAACUAUUCUUAUUGUUAUCUGUUUAGAGUUUAAAAUAUGGUACCAGUGAUACCAGACGGGGAGUGUCAUGCCUUCAGCAUUUGCUUUGUGUAGAUCUGAUUACUUUUACUACAGAAAGUUGUAUUAUUGCCCCAUCUGGUGGUCAGUCCCAUCAAUUAAUUUGACCCUCAUAGCCUCUUGUAGCCAGUCUUGCAAUGCAUUCUGGGAUGAAGAAGCUGGGAUCAGCUUUUCUACUUCCCUCAUGGUCCCAGACAGUCAUGUUUUACAUGGGUCCAACUCUCAUAUAGCAUUCGAUGAAAACCGAUACCUGAGAACUUUAUCAAAUGCUGCAAACAUACAGUAACGACUUGCAAGCAGGAAAUGAGUAAAGUGCAAAGCCUUGAGGAAUACUAGCACUGAGUCUGGAACUACCUGACCAGUCACCAAAGGAGCAGCAACAGUGCAUUAUCCGCCACAAGGAUGCCGUCACUCUGAGUUUAUCAGUGUCACCCAAUGUGAUAGGACCAGGCCUUGAAGAGGAGAGAACACAGCCUGCUCUUCAAGCAUGUAACUCUAGUGCACCAUAUAAGGAGCAUGUGUGAGGGGAUGUGAUCAUAUGGUGUCAUAGUUUAUACUGUUGGAAAGUUCUUAUUGGUGCUUAAGGGUAUGUGGUGGAGUCUAAUGACAUGGCUGAGGUCUUAUUGGAAUAUAAAGUACAUUUGGGAGUGAACUGAUUGGCUCUUAAGGAGCAUGCGGGAAGGCUAUGGUGGCAUGGGGAUGGCCUGGCACUAAAUGGUCAUAUAGGGAAGUGUUAUGGAGAUAGUGUGAUUGACACUUAAAGGGCAUUUGCAGGUUAUCUGAUUAAGGAGCUUGUACGGAGUCUGAUGGCAUGAGAUAUGUUAUUGCUAUGCAGUCAAUAGAUCUACAGUGUCUAGUUAGACAGUCACUAGGUUGAAACCAUAUGGUCGGCAUGCAUUAGGUCAGCAUGGUCAAAAGGUCAACAUGGUCAUUAGGUCAACCUAUGAAAGGUCGACAGUGCUUAUGGUUGACAGGUACAAGAGGUCGACAGGUUCAAGGGGUCGACAAGCCAAUGGUCGACACACAUAUGGUUGACUUGAGUUUUGUUGGGGGGAUUCACUUUUUUCAACUUCUUCAUACUUUACCAUUUACGUUGACUAUGAUUGCGAAUAGUAACCUUACCCAAAGGGGUCCACGUGCUCAGACGCCGAAAACAACACAAAAAAAAUGUAAAAAUGCUGUGUCAACCUUUUCCUGUGUUUACCAUUUUCCAUGUUGACCUUUUCAUGCGUCCCUCCUUUGUACCUGUCGACCUUUUCCUGUGUCUGCUUUUCAUAGGUUGACCUAAUGACCAUGUCAACCUUUUCACUGCUGACGAUAUAGUCUCGACCUAAUGAAUGUAGACCUUCUUGAAUGUAUACCUUCUGCUGUAGAUCUAUAGAUCCAUAACCAUUUUAUUAUAUUAAAAAGGUUUUCAUGCACUAUGUAGCGUUCCCUCUAUGUUUCAGCCUCCAUCAAGAUAAAAUAAGGAUAAUUUCAGAAAUGUAUUAGUGUAUUAUAUGCUUAUG